Molecule: ribosomal RNA, 253 nt
Filed under: uncultured bacterium
Lineage: Bacteria
Description: partial 16S ribosomal RNA
Rfam family: Bacterial small subunit ribosomal RNA
Source: RNAcentral
UACGGAGGGUGCAAGCGUUAUCCGGAUUCACUGGGGUUAAAGGGUGCGUAGGUGGGUUGGUAAGUCAGUGGUGAAAUCUCCAGGCUUAACUUGGAAACUGCCAUUGAUACUAUCAAUCUUGAAUACCGUGGAGGUCAGCGGAAUAUGUCAUGUAGCGGUGAAAUGCUUAGAUAUGACAUAGAACACCAAUUGCGAAGGCAGCUGGCUACACGAAUAUUGACACUGAUGCACGAAAGCGUAGGGAUCAAACAGG